AAACCAGAACAUCAACGGCAUGAUUUUGAAAUAAUAAUAAACGAAAAACAAAUAUGAGAGACAGCAUCCAACAACCAGUACUAUAUGCAUAAGGCGAAGUAUUAUACGUUAACUUACGCAUUUAACGAAAUUAAGGAUAAAAACGUGCCUCGUUAGUUACGCUUUAUAUUCCCUUUAUUCCAAAAAAAGAAAAAUGAACACACCAGCCAUAAAUGAUUUCCUUUGGUUUAAUAUGAGUUCAAACAAGUAUGACUGUGCUAUCUCAAAUCUUC
RNAcentral lists this long non-coding RNA (272 nucleotides) under Mytilus galloprovincialis (Mediterranean mussel). The record is from RNAcentral. Lineage: Eukaryota; Metazoa; Mollusca; Bivalvia; Mytilida; Mytilidae.